GGGGCCGUAGUUUAGCUUGGUAGAAUGCGGGGCUUGGGUCCCCGUGGUCCGGGGUUCAAAUCCCCGCGGCCCCA
This 74-nucleotide transfer RNA is filed under the name Zestosphaera tikiterensis. RNAcentral's name for it is "tRNA-Pro". It matches the Rfam family "tRNA". From Rfam's summary of the family: Transfer RNA (tRNA) molecules are approximately 80 nucleotides in length. RNAcentral also lists the same sequence under 3 other names. Lineage: Archaea; Thermoproteati; Thermoproteota; Thermoprotei; Desulfurococcales; Desulfurococcaceae. The record is from RNAcentral.